Molecule: ribosomal RNA, 542 nt
Filed under: uncultured bacterium
Lineage: Bacteria
Description: bacterial SSU rRNA
Rfam family: Bacterial small subunit ribosomal RNA
Source: RNAcentral
AAUAGAUACCCCGGUAGUCCUAGCCGUAAACGAUGGGCACUGGGUAGGGGGGACGCCUAUGCUCUUCCCUGCCGAAGCAAAUGUAUUAAGUGCCCCGCCUGGGGAGUACGCUCGCAAGGGUAAAACUCAAAGGAAUUGACGGGGGCUCACACAAGCGGUGGAGCAUGUGGUUCAAUUCGAAGCAACGCGAAGAACCUUACCUGGGCUUGACAUCCAUGGAUUAUGCCCCUGAAAGGGGAGUACUGCUCUUCGGAGCCGGAACAUGGACAGGUGUUGCAUGGCUGUCGUCAGCUCGUGUCGUGAGAUGUUGGGUUAAGUCCCGUAACGAGCGCAACCCUUGUCGCUAGUUGCCAGCGGGUAAUGCCGGGGACUCUAGCGAGACUGCCGGUGUCAAACCGGAGGAAGUGGGGACAACGUCAAGUCAUCAUGGCCCUUAUGCCCAGGGCGACACACGUGCUACAAUGGCGUGUACAAAGGGUUCCGAUACCGUGAGGUGGAGGCAAUCCCAAAAGCACGCCCAGUUCGGAUUGAAGGCUGCUAAC